GUAGGGUGCGAGCGUUAAUCGGAAUUACUGGGGCGUAAAGCGUGCGCAGGCGGCUUUGCAAGACAGAUGUGAAAUCCCCGGGGCUCAACCUGGGGAACUGCAUUUGUGACUGCAAGGCUAGAGUACGGCAGAGGGGGAUGGAAUUCCGCGUGUAGCAGUGAAAUGCGUAGAUAUGCGGAGGAACACCGAUGGCGAAGGCAAUCCCCUGGGCCUGUACUGACGCUCAUGCACGAAAGCGUGGGGAGCAAACAGGAUUAGAUACCCUGGUAGUCCACGCCCUAAACGAUGUCAACUGGUUGUUGGACGGCUUGCUGUUCAGUAACGAAGCUAACGCGUGAAGUUGACCGCCUGGGGAGUACGGCCGCAAGGUUG
Molecule: ribosomal RNA, 372 nt
Filed under: uncultured organism
Description: partial 16S ribosomal RNA
Rfam family: Bacterial small subunit ribosomal RNA
Source: RNAcentral